Molecule: ribosomal RNA, 1158 nt
Filed under: Staphylococcus sp.
Lineage: Bacteria; Bacillati; Bacillota; Bacilli; Caryophanales; Staphylococcaceae
Description: bacterial SSU rRNA
Rfam family: Bacterial small subunit ribosomal RNA
Source: RNAcentral
CUCAGGAUGAACGCUGGCGGCGUGCCUAAUACAUGCAAGUCGAGCGAACGGACGAGAAGCUUGCUUCUCUGAUGUUAGCGGCGGACGGGUGAGUAACACGUGGAUAACCUACCUAUAAGACUGGGAUAACUUCGGGAAACCGGAGCUAAUACCGGAUAAUAUUUUGAACCGCAUGGUUCAAAAGUGAAAGACGGUCUUGCUGUCACUUAUAGAUGGAUCCGCGCUGCAUUAGCUAGUUGGUAAGGUAACGGCUUACCAAGGCAACGAUGCAUAGCCGACCUGAGAGGGUGAUCGGCCACACUGGAACUGAGACACGGUCCAGACUCCUACGGGAGGCAGCAGUAGGGAAUCUUCCGCAAUGGGCGAAAGCCUGACGGAGCAACGCCGCGUGAGUGAUGAAGGUCUUCGGAUCGUAAAACUCUGUUAUUAGGGAAGAACAUAUGUGUAAGUAACUGUGCACAUCUUGACGGUACCUAAUCAGAAAGCCACGGCUAACUACGUGCCAGCAGCCGCGGUAAUACGUAGGUGGCAAGCGUUAUCCGGAAUUAUUGGGCGUAAAGCGCGCGUAGGCGGUUUUUUAAGUCUGAUGUGAAAGCCCACGGCUCAACCGUGGAGGGUCAUUGGAAACUGGAAAACUUGAGUGCAGAAGAGGAAAGUGGAAUUCCAUGUGUAGCGGUGAAAUGCGCAGAGAUAUGGAGGAACACCAGUGGCGAAGGCGACUUUCUGGUCUGUAACUGACGCUGAUGUGCGAAAGCGUGGGGAUCAAACAGGAUUAGAUACCCUGGUAGUCCACGCCGUAAACGAUGAGUGCUAAGUGUUAGGGGGUUUCCGCCCCUUAGUGCUGCAGCUAACGCAUUAAGCACUCCGCCUGGGGAGUACGACCGCAAGGUUGAAACUCAAAGGAAUUGACGGGGACCCGCACAAGCGGUGGAGCAUGUGGUUUAAUUCGAAGCAACGCGAAGAACCUUACCAAAUCUUGACAUCCUUUGACAACUCUAGAGAUAGAGCCUUCCCCUUCGGGGGACAAAGUGACAGGUGGUGCAUGGUUGUCGUCAGCUCGUGUCGUGAGAUGUUGGGUUAAGUCCCGCAACGAGCGCAACCCUUAAGCUUAGUUGCCAUCAUUAAGUUGGGCACUCUAAGUUGACUGCCGGUGACAAA